AGUAGAUGACGCUGGCGGCGUGCUAAUACAUGCAAGUCGAACGAGUUCUCGUUGAUGAUCGGUGCUUGCACCCGAGAUUCAACAUGGAACGAGUGGCGGACGGGUGAGUAACACGUGGGUAACCUGCCCUUAAGUGGGGGAUAACAUUUGGAAACAGAUGCUAAUACCGCAUAGAUCCAAGAACCGCAUGGUUCUUGGCUGAAAGAUGGCGUAAGCUAUCGCUUUUGGAUGGACCCGCGGCGUAUUAGCUAGUUGGUGAGGUAAUGGCUCACCAAGGCGAUGAUACGUAGCCGAACUGAGAGGUUGAUCGGCCACAUUGGGACUGAGACACGGCCCAAACUCCUACGGGAGGCAGCAGUAGGGAAUCUUCCACAAUGGACGCAAGUCUGAUGGAGCAACGCCGCGUGAGUGAAGAAGGCUUUCGGGUCGUAAAACUCUGUUGUUGGAGAAGAAUGGUCGGCAGAGUAACUGUUGUCGGCGUGACGGUAUCCAACCAGAAAGCCACGGCUAACUACGUGCCAGCAGCCGCGGUAAUACGUAGGUGGCAAGCGUUAUCCGGAUUUAUUGGGCGUAAAGCGAGCGCAGGCGGUUUUUUAAGUCUGAUGUGAAAGCCCUCGGCUUAACCGAGGAAGCGCAUCGGAAACUGGGAAACUUGAGUGCAGAAGAGGACAGUGGAACUCCAUGUGUAGCGGUGAAAUGCGUAGAUAUAUGGAAGAACACCAGUGGCGAAGGCGGCUGUCUGGUCUGUAACUGACGCUGAGGCUCGAAAGCAUGGGUAGCGAACAGGAUUAGAUACCCUGGUAGUCCAUGCCGUAAACGAUGAAUGCUAGGUGUUGGAGGGUUUCCGCCCUUCAGUGCCGCAGCUAACGCAUUAAGCAUCC
This 881-nucleotide ribosomal RNA is filed under the name Lacticaseibacillus paracasei. RNAcentral's name for it is "bacterial SSU rRNA". It matches the Rfam family "Bacterial small subunit ribosomal RNA", at positions 24 to 869 of the family's 1533-position model. The record is from RNAcentral. Lineage: Bacteria; Bacillati; Bacillota; Bacilli; Lactobacillales; Lactobacillaceae.